RNAcentral lists this ribosomal RNA (239 nucleotides) under uncultured Alphaproteobacteria bacterium. Its description in RNAcentral is "partial 16S ribosomal RNA". It matches the Rfam family "Bacterial small subunit ribosomal RNA", at positions 393 to 649 of the family's 1533-position model. Lineage: Bacteria; Pseudomonadati; Pseudomonadota; Alphaproteobacteria. The record is from RNAcentral.
CAUGCCGCGUGAGUGAUGAAGGCCCUAGGGUCGUAAAGCUCUUUCGCCAGGGANGAUAAUGACAGUACCUGGUAAAGAAACCCCGGCUAACUCCGUGCCAGCANCCGCGGUAAUACGGAGGGGGUUAGCGUUGUUCGGAAUUACUGGGCGUAAAGCGCACGUAGGCGGAUUANUCAGUCAGAGGUGAAAUCCCAGGGCUCAACCCNGGAACUGCCUUUGAUACUGCUAGUCUUGAGUUC